Molecule: ribosomal RNA, 1357 nt
Filed under: Pseudophilautus wynaadensis
Lineage: Eukaryota; Metazoa; Chordata; Amphibia; Anura; Rhacophoridae
Description: partial 16S rRNA
Rfam family: Bacterial large subunit ribosomal RNA
Source: RNAcentral
GCCUAAAAUCUAGCCUAAGAAUAUGUACUAUUUAAAAAGGGCUAAAUAAUAUAAAUAUAAAACAUUUUACCUUUAAAGUAGAGGCGAUCGAAAAAACUCUCAGCGCUUUAGAAACUGUACCGCAGGGGAAAGAUGAAAUAGAAAUGAAAUAAAUUUAAAGCUAAUAAAAGCAGAGAUAUAAGCUCGUACCUUUUGCAUUAUGGUCUAGCCAGUCUAAUCGAGCAAAGUGAAAACUUCAGUCCGACUUCCCGAAACUAGGCGAGCUACUUUAAAACAGCCUCAAGGGCCAACUCGUCUCUGUUGCAAUAGAGUGAGAAGAUUUUUAAGUAGAGGUGAUAUGCCUAUCGAGCUUAGAGAUAGCUGGUUAUUCAGAAAAAGAAUCUUAGUUCUGCCUUAAAUUAUAUUAUGUCUUAUAACAAAACCAAUAAUUUAAGAGUUAUUCAAUUAAGGGAUAGCUUAAUUGAAACAGGGUACAACCUAAACAACAGGGUAAAAAACCUUCAUAUAAAGAUAAGUGGGCCUAAAAGCAGCCACCUUUAAAAAAGCGUUAAAGCUAGUCUUAAUAAAACACCAAUCCUAUGAACAACUGUGAUCCCCUCCUUCAACUGAAUGACUCCAUAAUUAUAUGGAAGCCAUUAUGCUAGAACUAGUAACAAGAAUUAAUUCUCCAAAAUGUGAACAAAUACUAGGACAAAACCUACUAAUUAACGUAUAUUAACCAAAUGCAAUAACACCCCGAGAAAACCCUGCAUUACAUGUUCGUUAACCUUACACUAGAACAUCUCUGGAAAGAUUAAAAGAGAGAAAAGGAACUCGGCAAACUUCAACCCCGCCUGUUUAACAAAAACAUCGCCUUUUGACUAUAAUAAGAGGUCCAGCCUGCCCAGUGAUAAAUUUAACGGCCGCGGUACCCUAACCGUGCAAAGGUAGCAUAAUCACUUGUUCUUUAAAUAAGGACUUGUAUCAACGGCAUCACGAGGGUUUUACUGUCUCCUCUCUCCAAUCGGUGAAACUGAUCUCCCCAUGAAAAAGUGGGGAUAAACUUAUAAGACGAGAAGACCCCAUGGAGCUUUAAAACCUAUAGCAACCUAGCAAAACAUUUCCAUCUAGCUAUAAAACGAUGCUCAAGGACUUUAGGUUGGGAGGACCACGGAGCACAAGAUAACCUCCGUAAUGAAAAGAAUAAAAUCUUUACCAAAGAGCCACAACUCUAAGAAUUAGAAAACUAACGUACAUGACCCGAUAUCGAUCAAUGAACUAAGUUACCCUGGGGAUAACAGCGCAAUCCACUCUGAGAGUUCAUAUCGACGAGCGGGCUUACGACCUCGAUGUUGGAUCAGGGUAUCCUGGUGGUGCA